AUGGAGAAAUCAAUUAUUCUGUUGCUCUGGGUACAAUAUGUUGUUAAGAUCUCAAAAAGUUUCUGUUUUGUGAAUAAUCGAACAACAGUUGUUAUUGAAUGGGAUGAAUUUCCUAAGGGAAGAAGUCCUGGAUUUUAUUUUUUAAAAUACCAACUUGUUAAUGAUUUUGCUGAAAAAAAAGAAGGUCAUCUCACGUGGACAGAUGGAUCAUCUUUUGGCCUUAAGAAAAAUGAAAUCUUUUCUUUUCCAUUGCUACCCAAGAAUGAAACAGAUUGCUAUGUUUUACAGCAAAAUGCAUCUGGAUCAAACUAUUUCUUCACAAGAUUUUUCUGUUAUGUUCCAUUGCCGUAUAUUUGCAGAUAUGACUCACCUUCUCUGCAGGAAAACCUUUUGAUCUAUAUAAAGGAUGUUGGAACAACUGAAGUUGUAUUUGGUUGGCAUAAUUUGAAUGCUUGGAAUAAUUUGAAUAAGUGGCUAAAACUGGGAUAUAAAAUUAUCAUUAAAUAUUAUUUAGAUUAUACAGAAGAAAAAUAUUUUGAAAGCAUAUCCCCAAAUACUACGGAAAAAAGAAUUACCCAGUUGUUUCCUGGCCAUACUUACAGAUUUUUACUCUUUGCAAUAAAUGAAUGGGAGGCAAAAACUGUGUUAAGUUCAGUGUUCAUUGUUGAAACACGUAAGUCACAAAAUAUCUGAAAAUCCGAUUUUUCAAAUUAGCAGAUAUUUCCUGAAGAUUUCGAGUUUUCUCAUAAUACUCUGGGCAUACCUCAUUCUUUAACCAUUUUAAAUUACAGUGAAUCUGUUUAUGUCCUUGGCUUUCCUCUUAAUCUGUAAACCCAUAAGGGCAGGAAUUAUAUCUUAUUAGUCUUACAGCACCAACUAGACUAGUGCACAGCCCACAGUGAAUAAUCAGGACAUUUUUGUGGAACUUAAGUUUUGAUACGUGUUAAGAGCAAGAGAUAAACAGGCAUGCAUUGUGGAUUUUGAGAGGCUUACAAUGAAGAGAAUUAGAAAGAAGUAAAAGUAAAAGCAAACCAAAGAGCAAAGUGUAAAAAAACAUAAGACCCUAAAUUCUCAAUAACUCAGUGGUACAUUUAAUAAAUGCUUUCUAGAAUUCA
This 1115-nucleotide long non-coding RNA is filed under the name Vulpes vulpes (red fox). RNAcentral's name for it is "lncRNA (ENSVVUG00000010370.1)". The record is from RNAcentral. Lineage: Eukaryota; Metazoa; Chordata; Mammalia; Carnivora; Canidae.